Molecule: ribosomal RNA, 492 nt
Filed under: uncultured bacterium
Lineage: Bacteria
Description: partial 16S ribosomal RNA
Rfam family: Bacterial small subunit ribosomal RNA
Source: RNAcentral
AGUGAACGCUGGCGGUAGGCCUAACACAUGCAAGUCGAACGGCAGCACAGUAAGAGCUUGCUCUUACGGGUGGCGAGUGGCGGACGGGUGUGGAAUACAUCGGACUCUACUUUUUCGUGGGGGAUAACGUAGGGAAACUUACGCUAAUACCGCAUCCGACCUACGGGUGAAAGCAGGGGAUCUUCGGACCUUGCGCGAUUGAAUGAGCCGAUGCCGGAUUAGCUAGUUGGCGGGGUAAAGGCCCACCAAGGCGACGAUCCGUAGCUGGUCUGAGAGGAUGAUCGCCCGCACUGGAGCUGGAACACGGGCCAGACGACUACGGGAGGCAGCAGUGGGGAAUAUUGGACAAUGGGCGCAAGCCUGAUCCAGCCAUACCGCGUGGGUGAAGAAAGCCUUCGGGUUGUAAAGCCCUUUUGUGGGGAAAGAAAAGCAGCAGGUUAAGACCCCGCGGUUCUGACGGUACCCAAAGAAUAAGCACCGGCUAACUUCGUG